This 381-nucleotide ribosomal RNA is filed under the name uncultured Lactobacillus sp. Its description in RNAcentral is "bacterial SSU rRNA". It matches the Rfam family "Bacterial small subunit ribosomal RNA", at positions 161 to 524 of the family's 1533-position model. The record is from RNAcentral. Lineage: Bacteria; Bacillati; Bacillota; Bacilli; Lactobacillales; Lactobacillaceae.
UGCUAAUACCGGAUAACAACAGAUGAUGCCUAUCAACUGUUUAAAAAGAUGGUUCUGCUAUCACUCUUGGAUGGACCUGCGGUGCAUUAGCUAGUUGGUAGGGUAACGGCCUACCAAGGCGAUGAUACAUAGCCGAGUUGAGAGACUGAUCGGCCACAUUGGGACUGAGACACGGCCCAAACUCCUACGGGAGGCAGCAGUAGGGAAAUCUUCCACAAUGGACGCAAGUCUGAUGGAGCAACGCCGCGUGAGUGAAGUAAGGGUUUCGGCUACGUAAAGCUCUGUUGUUGGUGAAGAAGGACAGGGGUAGUAACUGACCUUUGUUUGACGGUAAUCAAUUAGAAAGUCACGGCUAACUACGUGCCAGCAGCCGCGGGUAAU